GAUGAACGCUAGCGGCAGGCCUAAUACAUGCAAGUCGAACGAGAUUAAGAGGCUUGCUUCUUAUGAAAGUGGCGCACGGGUGCGUAACGCGUAUGCAACCUACCUUAAUCAGGGGGAUAGCCCGAAGAAAUUCGGAUUAAGACCGCAUAAAAACACAGGAUAGCAUUAUCCAAUGUUCAAAUAUUUAUAGGAUUAAGAUGGGCAUGCGUGUCAUUAGCUAGUUGGCGGGGUAACGGCCCACCAAGGCGACGAUGACUAGGGGAUCUGAGAGGAUGACCCCCCACACUGGUACUGAGACACGGACCAGACUCCUACGGGAGGCAGCAGUAAGGAAUAUUGGUCAAUGGAGGGAACUCUGAACCAGCCAUGCCGCGUGCAGGAAGACAGCCCUCUGGGUCGUAAACUGCUUUUAUUCGGGAAUAAACCUUUCUACGUGUAGGAAGCUGAAUGUACCGAGGGAAUAAGGAUCGGCUAACUCCGUG
Molecule: ribosomal RNA, 482 nt
Filed under: uncultured bacterium
Lineage: Bacteria
Description: partial 16S ribosomal RNA
Rfam family: Bacterial small subunit ribosomal RNA
Source: RNAcentral